This 88-nucleotide transfer RNA is filed under the name Spirochaetota bacterium. Its description in RNAcentral is "Spirochaetes bacterium tRNA-Ser". It matches the Rfam family "tRNA". Rfam says of the family: Transfer RNA (tRNA) molecules are approximately 80 nucleotides in length. Their secondary structure includes four short double-helical elements and three loops (D, anti-codon, and T loops). Further hydrogen bonds mediate the characteristic L-shaped molecular structure. tRNAs have two regions of fundamental functional importance: the anti-codon, which is responsible for specific mRNA codon recognition, and the 3' end, to which the tRNAs corresponding amino acid is attached (by aminoacyl-tRNA synthetases). tRNAs cope with the degeneracy of the genetic code in two manners: having more than one tRNA (with a specific anti-codon) for a particular amino acid; and 'wobble' base-pairing, i.e. permitting non-standard base-pairing at the 3rd anti-codon position. Lineage: Bacteria; Pseudomonadati; Spirochaetota. The record is from RNAcentral.
GGAGAUGUGGACAGUUGGUUGUCAAGCGGUCUUGAAAACCGUCACCCGUGCAUUCGGGUUGCAGGUUCGAAUCCUGUCAUCUCCGCAA